RNAcentral lists this ribosomal RNA (439 nucleotides) under uncultured bacterium. RNAcentral's name for it is "partial 16S ribosomal RNA". It matches the Rfam family "Bacterial small subunit ribosomal RNA", at positions 339 to 795 of the family's 1533-position model. The record is from RNAcentral.
CUACGGGUUGCUGCAGUAGGGAAUAUUGGACAAUGGGCGAAAGCCUGAUCCAGCAACACCGCGUGCACGAUGACGGCCUUCGGGUUGUAAAGUGCUUUUAGAGGAGAUGAGAAAGGACAGUAUCCUCUGAAUAAGCCUCGGCGAACUACGUGCCAGCAGCCGCGGUAAAACGUAGGAGGCAAGCGUUAUCCGGAUUUAUUGGGCGUAAAGCGCGUGCAGGCGGUCUAGCAAGUUGGAUGUGAAAGCUCCCGGCUCAACUGGGAGAGGUCGUUCAAUACUGUUAGACUAGAGAAUAGAGAGGGAGGUGGAAUUCCGGGUGUAGUGGUGAAAUGCGUAGAUAUCCGGAGGAACACCAGUGGCGAAAGCGGCCUCCUGGACUAUUUCUGACGCUAAGACGCGAAAGCUAGGGUAGCAAACGGGAUUAGAUACCCCUGUAGUC